Erigeron canadensis is the source of this 99-nucleotide long non-coding RNA. RefSeq lists it as uncharacterized. The record is from RefSeq and is a predicted model, not a curated record. NCBI's taxonomy places the organism in Eukaryota, Viridiplantae, Streptophyta, Magnoliopsida, Asterales, Asteraceae. The transcript has 3 exons.
AAUUCAAAGCUGAAAUUGGUCUUUGUCAAAAGACCCUCAACAAAUCGGAGAUGAUUCAAAGGAAGAAUGCUAGCUCUGUUAAGCGUUGGCGGAUAUCAC